GCUUUCUUGGCUCAGUCGGCAGAGCGUCAGUCUCAUAAUCUGAAGGUCACGAGUUCGAAUCUCGUAGAGAGCA
Non-coding RNA from Absidia glauca, 73 nucleotides. The record is from Rfam. Lineage: Eukaryota; Fungi; Mucoromycota; Mucoromycetes; Mucorales; Cunninghamellaceae.